CUGCUUCUGCCGCCCGAUCUGGCUGACUUUGCCAAGUCAUCUUUUAAAAAAAAGGAAGUGAAGGAUGAUUAAGAGGGUCACGCCCUCUGCCCCUCUAAGCUUCUAACUAGUUUCUUUCCUUCCCCGUCUCCUGUGCAGCACACCUGCUCAGGUGAGACUUUAAGAACAAAUAAUUCUUGUGAACCCACGCAGUCUAGUGUGUAAGCUGUAGCUUCAGGAAAGCAAGCAUUACUUGGGGAGAGGGGUGGCAUAGAAGUUCUGCAUCGUAAUUAACUCAAAACAGGUAUCUCCUGACAUGACUAAUAAACUAUCCAUCGUGAUUGUUUCAUUGAAGUUUUUUGUUUUGUUUUGUUUUGUUUUGUUUUUGUAAUAGACCUGACUUACCGAGGUGCUUCCUGAUAAGAGUUGUUUUUCAUGAUCAGGAGAAACCCUGCCUAGGUGAAGGUGGGUAGUGCAAACCAGUAAGAAGAGCGAUCCUAGAUCAGGAUCACAGCUCCCAUUUAUCUAGCAUUUCUAUGCCAGUACUGUUGGUCAGGAAUUUACAAGUAUUUUGGCAUCUGGAGUUUUCUGUGAGGCAUACGGUUUUCUUAUCUACAGUUGAAAGAUGCAUGGGAACAGAGGCUUCCUUAAGUAACAGAGCUAAGUUCACAUGGCUGAACUUGGAUAAAAACCGCCUGCAGUCUGGCUUCAAAGACUGCUUGGAAUCCUGUGUGUAAGAGAACCCUGUGAAUAAUAGAGUAUAGCAGUAGACUAGGGAAAUGACCUGAGGUUGUGGGUAUGCCCUUAACCCUCUGGGGAACCUCAGAAAGGUGUCUGGAGUUUGUGGUUCCUGUACUGACAUCAGGACAUGAACUUCAGAUUCUGUCGUGGUGCUAACAGUGAGAAGAAGCGGAGAGAAAGGAGCGAGACAGGGACUGUCUGUGCUUUAAAGGGUACAGGGUAGGAGUUCCUACUGGACACUGGCCUGUGGCCUCUGCUGCUGGGACUCUGCCUUUCCACAUCCAAUGUAUAAACCUGUCGUUUCAGUGCACUUCCAAAAUAAACCCUAUCCGGUGAUGGCAGGGCUGUUUAAGACCUCUGUGUUGUCUCUCUUGCCAACAACAACCUUUCCUCCUUCUCAAAGCAUCAGAAGAUUUGAAGGUACUUGUCAUCCUCCCUGCAGCUACUGGCCUUUCCCCGCUGUGCGUUCUGAAGACAGCUCCCCUGCACAGAGAAGGGCUAUCUAGAAUGAGAUUAGACUCCAACGUCUCAGUAUGACAGGAUGGAAGAGAGCUACUUUGGUAAGACAGGGCUUCAAGGAUGGAACAUGGAAGAAUGUUCACAAAAGGAGGGAAAUAGAGGAAUGAGAAAGAAAACAGGGAAGAGCUGGAAAAUGAAGUCAGGAAACUGAGCCUCAGGGGGAAAGGCACACACUUCCAAAAAUGUCAUUGAAAUUCCGAUGUGGAGAUAAGAGGUAGACAGAGAUGAGACUGCAGGGACUGUUAAAGAUGAAUUCUAUAAACGUGCCUAGGGUUGCAGUAGCUGUAUUAAACUCCCUGGCCAUGGGGUACAGGUAGGGCUACAAUUGUUCACACUCUCUGCUUUUUUCCCAUCUGUUGCUAGACUCUUCAGAGCGGAGUGAAAAAGCAUCCAUCAACAGAGUGCAAAAGGGGAAAUCUGUCUUCCUUCCGGGCACAAUCACCAGCAAGGCAGACAGAACAAAGCUUGUGCAUAGGCAAAAUUUGAGCAAAAUGAGGGAAAGUAUCUAAAGUUCCAGGAAAGAAGAAGUAACUUUUUUUCCCCAAGACUCUAUCCUUAAGUGUUAAGAAUGUCUUCUGAAAAGAAUAUUUAGAAAGCAUUUGGAAUUUAAAAAGUUAGGUGAAAAUGGACACCUUUGAAUUACAUAGUAUUAUGAGAGAAGUCUAAGAAAAUUAGUAUCGUUUUGAAAAAAAAUCAAUACCGCACCUUAAAUCAGCUGUUGCUUUUUAAACAGAAACUGAAUAUACAGUUUGACAAGGAUGAAUGUUUUAUGAAUUUUUGGAAUGUUGAUAAUUAAAUAAAUCAAGUAAUAUUCCAGGCCUGAUGGUGGAGACCUGUAACCCUAGCUACUUAAUCAGAGGCAGGAGAAUUAAAAGUUCAAUUCCUGCUUUGUUGAAUGAGUGAGAAGACCCUGUCUUUAAAAAUGACAAAGUAAAAGUGGACUGGGGGUAUAGCUAAAGGGUGGGAGCUUGCUUAAUUUGCAUGAACCCCAUCUCUGUCUCCAGGAUCACAUCAAAGAAGACAGAGGUAGUUGUGGUGGUGGAGUAGUAGCAGCAGUAGUAGUAGUAGUAGCAGCAGUAGUGGUAGUAGUAGCAGUAGUAGUAGUAGUGGGUGGGAAUGCAGCGAGGGGAGGAAGAGAAGGAUGGAGAUGAGGGGUAGGGGAUGAUAGAGAAGAGGAGGAAGGGGGAAAAGAAUGAAGAAAUAAGACAAUUACAAAAACGAUUAACACUGUGUAAUAGGAAACACUGAAGUACAUUAUAGGAUGGUGAUUUAAGACAGAAAAUUAUCAAUGAUAAGCAAUGUCUUUUUAAAUUUCCACACUUUACUAAUAUCUCUCUGUUACCCAGGCCUGCUUUGAACUGGUCCUCCCUAUUAAAGUCUCUUGACUACUACCCACAUGCCAACAUCCAUGAGGAAAAUUUACUUUUUGACUAAUUAUAUUCAUUUUAUCUGAAUAAGUAUGACGGUUAUUUGUCUGUUGGUCUGUUUAACUGUCCAUGCACUCUGAGAUCUAAAUUCUAUUGUGCUGCGACCAUGGAUAUUUUCUGAGGUUCCUAUGAUUUAUUUUUCUAGACAAAAAUAUCAAGGUAGGAAAUAUUCUUACACACACACUCACACAUACUACAGAUAUGUAAGGUGCAUAGAUGUCUUGGUCCUAUGUUUUGAGAGAUCCAUUCUUGAUCUGCUUUUAUGACCAGGAACAUUUUAAAUUAUGUUUGGACAAAGUGACUCUUCACUUUGCCCUGAGUUUCACAAGUUCAGUUGCUGGAUUGACUGUGCAUGCUCACUAUGGAUGGCAAGUCAUGCUUUCAAAGUGACUUAAUAUUGACAGAGAAAUGGGUGUGUCAUUUAAAAAUUCAGUAUGUUGAGAAGGAAAGACUGAGGCACGAUUUUAACCAGAGAGUAAGGGGAGUAUAAUAAGCCCAUUUCACUAUGGGUAUCCAAGAUCAAUUCACAGUUCCAGUAAGAAAAUAAUUUCCCAGCUUAUAAUUCUAAAUCAGUUAUAAGUUUCAAGUACUUGCACAGAAUUAAUUUUGACCAUUACUAAUUGGCAAUCAAACAUUUAUUUAUGUGCUGUUUUUCCUGUUGCAUUUCUGAAUAAACCAUACGUUGACUAUGGCACUGUGUGUAAAUGGCAUUGAUCCUUUUACCAUAACCAGUACAUGUUUGUUCUUCAUGUCGUGUGUAAGUGAUGUUCAGCCAGUUUUGUCAGGUUUUGCUAAUAACACAAAGGAAGCUGAGAACCAUGUUUUAUAAACCCCUGUAAAAAGGUUUCACGAAGCUAUUUAUAUUUGUGGGAGACAUGUGGACGUUCAACAAUAAGAUUAUGUAGUGCCAUGGAAUGAAGCCCAGGGCAGGCUGCUACUGUCUGCUUUGAGCCACUAUGUGACUCAGAAAGGAAUGUUUUUUUUCUGAGAAUACAUUAGAGAUUGGCAACUCUGCUGUUGAGAUAUAAAUGUAACGUAGCAUGGAUGGUUAGAGCCGUGGAAAGUAAUGAAGUUAUGGAAAAUAAUGAGGCUUAAAUGCUAAAAGAGUGAAGGGGUAAUGCAUGUGGAGAGAGACACCUUGAGACACAAGCUUUACAGACUAGACAGGGAAGCCAAACAUGUGCCCCCAAUAAAGCCAAUGUAGUGACAGCUAAGUAGGAAAGCCAGCACCCCAGGAAGAUAGGAGGACACAUUUAAAAUAGUCAGUAACCCGUAUUUUCAAAAUCCACAGAGUCUGCAAAGGAAAAUGACUGAAGCACAUGCUUCCUUGGAUGACUUAGUCCUGAGGACAGCCAUACUGAUCGACUAGUGUAGAUAUCGGUGGGGGCAGGAAGUGGAGGGUAUAAAGUUGGGUUAAAUUUUCAGGAUGACAAAUGAUGACAGGAGUGGCGCCGUGUUUCACGAGCCUAUCAGGUACAAUGGAAGUUUCCAGUUUUGAGAAGGAUUUAAGCAUAUUUACAGAUUUAAUGACAAACUUCAGUUCUGAAGUGGUGGGAAGAACGGAACCAAGAAGCUAAAACAACCUGCCUUUUUUCCCCUUAUAUUCUUUUCGGUUCAAUCUCACCUUUUUGUAAUUCUCGAUAAUCAGAAACUGCUAUGUAUCAAUAUUUUUUUACUCUGAAUUAUUCCUUGCACACUCACUUAUACGCUGCUGGACUAAGCUUUGCUUGGUCUAGGACUGUUCUUUUACAUUUGAGAGAAAACCCCUGUAGAAUAGGAAGUUUGUUUUACUUGACUCUUUUGUGCACUGAUGAAUAUAUGUCUGGCAGUCACGACUUUUAAAAUAUAUACUAGAGUUGGGAAGGGACAGCGCUUUAAAUCUCUGCCUUUUUUAGAUGACCAGUCAGAGACGUUGUUCCUACAACAAAGUCUUCAUGAAAAGAUUUUGAAGAAAAUGGAAAACAUUUUGCCUAAAUUUUUCGGUAGCUUACUUCUGUGUUAUCUGAUUAUUACUUAAAGACACCAGUUGUUACUUUGCACUCUUGGACAGCAGUAACUCUUCCAGUCUGUCUAGAAUUUUAUGUAGUCAAAAGAUUACCUUCUGAGUCAGACUAUAUACAGUUAUGUCCUGUGAGAAAAUAGAGACAUCAACGUGAACAAGUCUUGACUUGCUUUGAUCAUAGAGAAUCAGAACUCCUAGUAAAGCUAUGCCGAUAUCCCAGAAUGUUACAAUCCCAACUGUGGGCUGGCAACUAAAUACCUAAGCUUCUGGUAAUAUUGUCAGUUCUUACAUUUGGCAGAAAAUUAAAUAUUUUCUGAUAUGGAAAACUCCCAAAUUUAAGUAAUUUAUUGUCACAUUAGAGGGUUACUUUGUUUUUCUUCUCCUCCCAGUAAAUCAGGUUUAUCCCAGCGUAUUUGUUAUUGCUUUAGGUUCUUGGGAUAAUUAUUAACUCAUAUAGGAUGUGGAAUGAUGACAUCUAUUACAAUAAUGACAUUAAAAAGUAGCCUGAAGGAUACUGUAUCUCCCUGAGUUCCUAGAUAUGACCAUUACACCAUGAUAUGUGUCAGUUACCUGGCAUCCUCACUGCCAUGAAAGUAACAACAACAACAACAACAACAACAACAACAACAACAACAACACAACAACAACAACACAACAACAACACACAAACACACACACACACACAGGAAAUACUAAGUGAUUAAGGUUUUUGUGACAGAUAAUGAUUUUUGUAGACAAGAAUGAGGUAUUACAUAGUGCUGGAAGAUUGCAUCCUAUGAAAAGCAGUUGUUUGAUUUCUUCUAUAUCUUUGAUCAAUUAGCAGUUCUAUUGAUACAUAGAAAUUUCUAACCAUGUCUCUCUCUUUUGUGACCUCUUCCUCCCCGCCACGUGUGUGUGUGUGUGUGUGUGUGUGUGUGUGUGUGUGUGUGUGUAUGAGUGUGAUUUGCCCUCUUUAAAAUGUUACCUUUAAACUUCAAACUUCAAUUUAGGGCUGCUGAGAUGGCCUAGCAUCCAAAAUUCUUGAUAGGAAAAUGUAGUGACCCAUGAGAAAGCUGGUAGUGUGCCCCUUGCCCAACAUUCCUGUGACAAGAAGGGAGCCAGAGACAGGAGAAUUCUUUGAAAUACCCGGGCAAGCUAGACUGGCAUGUGUACUCCAGGAUACAACGAGAUCCUGUCUCAGAAAAAGUACAAGACAGGCAUUGACACAUUGCCAUCAUUGGCUAAUGACCUCUGACCUCCACAUGCAAUGACCACACCCAUACACACACAUGCAUGCAUGUACAUGCACACACAUCAAAAUAAAAUUUAAAUAAACUUUAAUUUGUGUUUCAAAAGUGAUAUCCCUUUGAUGGUAAUUCUAAACUACACAAGAUUAUUAAAUUUCUAAAGCAAAUUUUAUGGAAUUGAUGCCUUUAACAAAUUCAAAUAUUUUGUUAGCUUCCUAUUUGAUUUCUGUGAGCUUUUCUAUACACAUCCUCUCUUUUAUUUACCUGGCCAUGUGACCUAAAAGGAGACGAAAACAAUAAAAGGCAAAUAAAUCAAAUAUUAUUGUGCACACAGGUUUACUGGCCAUUCAAGAAUAAUUCUGCAGCCAAAAACUACAGAUAUUUGCAGGCAGUGACAGUCAUUUUCCAAAACCUAACUGCAACCCAACCAAGCAAAGAGAAACAGCACAAUUAAAGGAUUGUCAAUAACUUAAAAAGCCAAGUGUAAAAAGUUCUUAGAAUCUAGAAAACAGUUAUCAGUCUCAUCAAAUUCUUAGGUUUUUUUUUUCUUUUUUUUUUUUUUUUUUGCUGUUAUUCCAAGCUGUGCAGGAGCCACAGUGUUCUUUUAUAACUUCAAUAUUGCUGGACUCUUAACCCCAAAGCUCUCAUCUUGAUGACCUUGAUUAUACUUAGUACAAUUCUUUUCUAUUUUUAAAUAAGAUUUGUGGUGAUUUUUAAGCCACCAGAGAUAAACUUUAUUGCCAAAGAAGCAAACUUUAGUGGCUUUCUUCUGCCCAGUUCACUUCUUCAAGUGUAGAGCUAAUUCAAUACAACAUAUCAGUAAAUAGAAUUUACUGGGGCUUCCCUGUGGAUAAAAAGGCAGCUCGAACUGUACAUAUUUCCAAAGGACCCUGUUCCCAAGGCUCUGGGUCUCUCCCACUUCCACCGAGGUGUACCAGUAGUCUCUCUGCACUUCCCUGUGUCGGUAGUGCAUAGCAAUAAAGUCCAACCGGCAAACACACACACUAGUGGUGCUUACCUUCCAUUUGCCGGUGGAAUUCCUUGACAAAUAUAAUGUUUUUACCACUCUGAGUGUACUAUGAUGAUAUGAGGGAAUUUAGUCAUCCUGUGUUUUAUUUAGCAGGGUCAUGUGUCUGCUUGGAAAUCGUCAUGAUUAACCUACCACUCUGCUUCUCCUUCCCAUCCUUUCUUAGAGUUCAACACAGUUAACCCAAUGACACUAUGUGCUGUGCAAUAUUCUACGUAUUCAACUACAACAACAUACAACAAUCAAAAAUAAAUCCUAGUUAAUCAUAUUCUUUUAUGGAUUAUACACUGCAACAAAAUUUAACUGCAUAGUUGAGGUGGAUGCUAUCUUUUCAUUUAUAGAUUAAGUAAUUUUAAUUACUUAAUUUAAGGACAAAAAUAUCAAAAAUGCUCAGCAAAAUUUCUAUGGAUGCCCCAUGACUUAGAAUUCCAGGUUUCAUUUUUUACAUUACACUAUUUAAAAAGUUAAACUUUAACUACCUUGGUUGUAGUAAUUAUGCUGGUAGCAUACAGUCCAUUUGUCCUUAUGUAGAAAGCCUGUAUGCAUGGAGAUAUUAACCCAAAGAAGAUCACAUUAUGCAUAAUUGUUCCACAGUCUUCUGUGUUCACCUACCAAUCGCCGCAUUUCUUUUUGAUGUUAUUUUCUUUCCUCAUUUCAAAGAAUCUAGAUAAUGAAAGUGAAUCCAAAGAUUUGCAUCACAUUGGAUUUUGGUUUCUUGUAGGGUUUAGUAUGAGAAGCUUAUGUCAUAUAUGCCAUGACUUAUGUCAAUAUGCCUUCAGACUUAAUUUCCAUGAAUUGAUUAGUUUUAUUUUUCCUUCUCUGAACAUGACUUUCACUAAAUUACAUGUAUUAUAUAAUACACAAUGACUUACUUUUACAUUUGUUGAUUAUGCAACUUUUAUAGAUUGUAAAUACAAAUAUUAUUCCAAACAAUAGCUUCCAAGUUCAAGUUAUUGUUUAACAUUUAUUUCAAUUGUGCUUAAUAUAAAUUUCUUACAGCAUUCUCCAAAGGACAAAUGUAAUAUAAAAUGCUAUAUUCUAAAGUGAAUUAAAUAAUAACUUUUAAUUUAAUGGUUAUUUAAUCAACACGUGUUUGAACUAAUUAGUUUCAAUGAUAUUUAUUUAAAAUUAGUUACAGAGAAAUACAAGGGACAGAUGUUUUGUGGAGACUUCCCAUUUUACAAUUUCUGGCCUAAUUAGUAAAUAUUUUCUUCAUAUUUGAAUAUAAAUAUAUUUUUGUGUACUAGCCAUAUAAUUUGUAAAUGACCAAUAAUUUUAAAGUUAACAUUAUAUUACAGGUCUUUUAGUUUUAAUGCAGUCUUGGAAAUUCUCUUUGUGUAUUCUUGUCUACAUGAUUGUACAUGCGACAUGAACAGCACAUAUGGCCCUUGUGUCCCUAGCUCCCCUGUUGCCAUUAAUGUUGCGUUCCUUUUCCUUUGCUUUUUUUUUAUAAUUUUUUCUUUCCCUGCUUAUUGACUAUAUUUCCGUUCUUCAGGGCUGUUUUUGGCCCUUUCAGAUGUCAUGUGAUGCACACUGAUGACUUUAAUUGUAGCCUAACCUAGCAUGCUACCUUCUGCAUCUCUAAGUCAGUCAUCCAUGACGGUUGCCGACAGGCUAUGGUGUGCUCUUCAGAACCUUCUAAGAGAACUCUCAGGCUCAAUAUACACAAGUAUGUAUGACUUCUGAGCUAGCUCUCCACAGCUUGUCCUCCCUGAGUCUGUACUCCAACUUCAAUCCUCUCCCAGGUUCUAAACCUGGGAAUAAUAAAGGUGACCAUAGCAACUGCUUGAUGGUAACUAUCCUUUUUCAUCACCACAGCUGCCCCUGUUGGAGUUUGUGAUAGAUCUCUGAAUAUAGAACUUUUAACUAAGAUGUUUUCGAAAACACUGUUGUCCUUUUGGGGUUUCCGGUUUCCUAGGCAUGCCACACAACACACAAGAUGCUUCAUGAUUUAUGUCUUCUCAUGACACUUAGGUGCCAAAUCUUCAUGUGCAGUCCUUUUAGUCAGCAUGUCUAGUCUGUUUAACCAUAGAAUUACGGUUACAUUUUUGUCUUGGGGAUAUUGCCAUCCUUAUGAAACAAGUAAUUUUUCCUAUCCAAUACUUAUCAGCUGUACUCUGCUUUGACAGUUGUCUAGAUGUCAUAUCCUGGAGACCUAGACCUUUAUUUUGCUAAGUGAUAACGUUGAGCAUUUGUCUUGCAUUAGGUAUCUGAUGCCAAUCUGUUGACUAGAUGCAUGGUAUUGGCUGCUGCACAAGCCAUAUUAUUAGGCUUUCACAGUUUUCAAAAUCAGACACCCAUCUUGUUUGUGGUUGAACUUACAGUGGACACUCAGGAUCUCAGGAAGACUAUCACCUAUCAUAUUAAAAGUGGAUACAUUCAUUAAUUCUGGUAUCGUCGGCUGGAAGCUCAUGUAUAGAUAAUGUGGAACAUCUCUCCCCUCAGUAACUUAAAAUCAUGGACUCUAUCUUUAAAUCACAUUGAAUAUGUGAUUUAUUAGAAACCAAAGUAUUAACAAACAUAUAAAUCUAUGUCUAAAAUAUAGUUCUAACUUUAAGGGAUAGGUCCUUCCAUGGGUUUAAUAUCUAAUUGAUUUUUUACUUGGGAUGGAUAAUGAUAUACACGAUAUUCUUUUAAAAGUUAUGUGUAGGUAGAUUUAAAAUUAACCUUUGUGUGUGUGUGUGUGUGUGUGUGUGUGUGUGUGUGUGUGUGUAUAAGUUCUGUGUUCUAUAACAAAAUUAGAUGAGCUAACAUAGACCUAAUAAUAGAAGAUAUUUAAACAUGAAAGACCAUUAAUAUGUUGCCUUUAAGGAUUAUCAACUUCAAUGUUUUCAUUUGCAUUGUAAAGGUAGUUUUUCUCAUUUUAUGCUCCUAUUCUUUCUAAAGAAUACAAAAGACAUAUCCUGUUGAGGCAAGCAUAUCUAGAAAGCAUUCCAGAGUGGCCUGGUUUUACUUGGAACACUGACUUAUGGAAGCUAUUCAGUUUCAGCAAUGUUUAUGAUUACUAGUGGUUUCUAGGUGGCCCUGUAAAUACAGUUUUGCAAGUGCCUUGGCAGACAGAAGGUUGUGUUGCAAAAAUUGCAUCUAUAAAACAUGAUUUAUAAACUACUUUCACAGUUGCUUUGAUGGUGAUUUUGAGGUUCAUGUUGGAAAUUAUAAAUAAAAAUAAUCUCUCAAUCUAAAUUGUGGAUGAGAAGUUGGUAAUUUUCAAGCUACAUUAAUUGAUUAAUAGAUAUAGGUUCUAAUUAAUCUGUUUAUAUUCCCUCCAUUGCCCAAUAUACUUUAAAUACUUUGAAAAUAUCUCAUGCCACUCAUACUGCAGUCACCCUGUCUGGGUAACAUGACCAGAGAAAAACUUUUCUAAAACUGGAGAUAUAUAUUGUGAUUAUCAUAAUGAAUGAAAAGCGGUAUGAGUCUCUGUGCGUAUCAACCAUUAAUAUAAAUACUAAAAUUAUCUUGCCAUGCUGUGGGCUCGUUUCUUAAUGACAUUUCUUCAAGAUUCCCUUAUAAAUGUUUGGAUCUAUUAAAUACUCAGGCAUCUAUUUUUCAGAAUGUUUUUUGAGGGUCAAAGAUGGCUCUGUGAAUGAAGGUGCUUGCUGACAAAUUUGACAGCCCAAAUUCAAUCCCUGUGACGCCCAUAGUAAGCACAGAGAAACAAGUCUCACAAACUGUCCUCUGACCUACACAUGCAUACCACUCAUGGCAUGCACACACAUUCAUGUAAGUAAAUAUAAUACAUACUUAAAUUAAAUUUAAUAUAUAAAUAUAAGUAAGUGUAAUAAAAUUUAAACCAGGUGUUUAAAAAACUUCUCAUAAGGUAGCUUUUGGAAUUUCAGCAUGCUAUUUUUAAAAUUCUUGUGAUUUAAUAAUGGGCUUCAUUCUUGAAAAACAAUAAAUAAAGCAGAGCCAGUAAUUCUCCAAAAAUUGGUGAGUUCUAGUUGGAGAAGUCACAAGUCCAAAUGAGCCCAGCAGCGAGUUAGGUGGGAUGAAGGGAGGCUUCAGCCUGCUGGGGACUACAUAGCUACAGAACUCAGGGCUGGGCUGAGGCAGGCUGGAUGCCAACAGACAUCACUAGGCUUUCUAGUCUUGCAGGUGAAGUGAGAGUUUGCAUAGUUUACUGGAAUUUCCCAUGUUUAAAUGAUGCCUCUGUUUUUCUGAGUUCUUAACUUUAAAAUCUUUGCUUUAUAAUAAUUCCCUUCCCUAACGUAAGCCUUAUUCUAACCCUUCAUAAAUUAGAAUUCUCUAUCCCAAGAAUCUUCCUGACUAAUUUAUAUCUAGUGUAAUGCAAAGAGUGAGUGCGGUGAAAAAUGCCAUGUGGCCUUCCUCUACACACAGUUUCCCCUUGGUACUCUGCCAUGCUUACCCCACCAUAGCAUUUGUCUGCAUUUGACACAUCACGGUUUACUUGGGUAUUUUCUUUUCUUGCCACUAUAAUAUUAAUAGCAUGAGACUUUUUAGUUCCCACUGAUGUAGCGUCAAUUUCUAGAAACCAAAUACACUCUUGACAUUUAGUCAUGCAAAUGGGUGUUCUACAGGUAACCAGUUACAGAGAGGAAAUGGCUGAAGAAUUACGCAUAUUUAACCUUGUCAAGAAAAAAGUAUAAUAAUAAUGAAACCCAGUUUGUUUGUUUUGUCUACAAGAAGUGAUUCUGUGUGUAUCUCCUUAAUUCUGUUCUCAGACAUAUCCUAUUUUUGAAAGCCAGCCAUACUGUGAUUAAUUCUACCUCCUCAAAUCAGGAAGUGACACAAAUAUCCUAUCACUUGUGAGCACACCCCAGGACAUGAGAGGUGUUAGAAAUUGGCCAAAGGAAGAAAUCUGUAGUAUUUGAAAUAGCUUAUCACACAGAGAGUAUUCAGUCCACAUUAGAUUUUACUCUUCUGAAAUAAUGUAUCAUAAACACUUACAGGCAUUUAUUUUGUUUUGUAAUCAUGACUGUUUUUGAACCUAUAGCUCAAUAUGUUUUAAGUUAUUUCUUAAAUUUCAUUCGGUAUUACAAUGCUCUAUUACAAUCUAUCUGAUGUCCACCCCUGAGAUGCUAGACUCUCUCUUGUAUCCCCCAAGUCUCUUACCCUCUUCACCACAUUUUCCAUUUGCUUUGUCUGUCUUCCAUUCUACUGCCUACUAAUGUUUCUAUUACAUUAUUAAUUUGUUUGCUUUUAGUGUGUGUAUGUUCACGUGUGUGCAUUUUUAUUGACUGAGCAUUCAUUUUAUAAAUGUAAACUCCAUUUGUGGUAAAUCGUGAAGUGUUUGUGGAUGUGAUUCUCUGCUUAAUUUCUCAUGCCUUUUGUUACCCUGUGGUCUGAUAGUGAUUAUAACUACAACGUGUGCUAGAUAUGCAUCUUAAACUUAGUUUGUAAAAAAAAUUGGAGUUCUAGUGUGAAGGAUACCUUCCUCUGGAGGGGGCAGUUCAUUUACUUUUAUCUAAGUAACUUGUAGUACUUCCAGUUGGGGACCAUCUUAACACGAGUUUUUUGACUUUAUAUUUCACAGAUCAUCCACUUAUGAAAACUAAGGUAAAAUUCUAAGGAAGGAUUGGUUCAUUGUUAUAACUUACUAUGAAGAGACCAAAUGUUAUUCUCUCAGGUUAAAACAGUGAAUGUUUGGUGUAUUCUUCUUUUGUAGGAACCAGACUUUAACUCUAGCUUUAUAGCCCCAUGACAUCAAAAAGUAUUGCGCUCAAGGGCUGGGGAUUUAGCUCAGUGGUAGAGCACUUACCUAGGAAGCACAAGGCCCCGGGUUCGGUCCCCAGCUCCGAAAAAAAGAACCAAAAAAAAAAAAAAAAAGUAUUGCGCUCAUCCUCAGAGACUGUGUUAGCAUUGGGCCUACCUGCCUGAGAUCUUGUUUUCUCUGAUAAUUAUGUUUUCAUUUGCUCAGAGGUACAUUCAUGAAUUUUCCUUUGUUUCUUUAUUUUCACUCAAUUAGAAGUUUGUUAUGAAUUCCUAGUGUUACACCAAGACAUACUGAUUUAUAUUUUGAGAGUUUCCUUAAGAUCUUAUCAUUUUCCUCUCAUUUGCAAUGUGCAUUUGAUUAUAGACUUUUAUGUUGCCACUGUUUUUCCUUAGGUUUUCUUAAGUCAUUGGCUGUGGUUUUCUAGCACACACUUAAUAUUAUAGAGAUGUCUAUUCCAUAGUGGGAUUUGGAGGAGGAAGAGCAGGAGAACACAGGACCUCAUGAAACUGGGGGUCAGGAUAUAACUUAUAUCCCUAACUGGACAAAGCAAUACAAAACACAAGUCUAAGUUCAACCGGGUAGAUAAUGAACUCAGACUAGGAGUAAAGAAGUCACAGUGUUUCCGUGACUUUUCAUACUGAUGGAUGUUUUCUUCUUAUUUCUGAAGAAACUGAUAUGUGGAGACAGUAAAUAAUCCACUAAAAGCACUAAAGACAAGGUUAUUUUACUGUGUGAACUCAGGCUAUGCUCUGAGCUCCUACCUAUACUUUCUCAGUGAGGAUGCUAAUUAGGCAGAAGAAGAAAAAAGAAGAAAGGCAAAAAAUAGCAACAUAGAUUUGAAGCAACUACAUAAGGACAACAGGGUGAUUGAGAGAAAGAGAGAAUGAAAGGAAGAGAGAAUGAAAGGAAGAAAAAUUUUUCUGCAAAAGACGAUACUGACAGUCUCUUUGUAAAAUGGGAUAAGAGUGACACAUGGCCUGUUGGUAUUUGAAAGAGAAAAGAUAUGCUGUCAAAGAUGGUUCACUUAUAGGAGGCGGCAUCUAUGAGAACCUCUCAUCUCAGUAACUGAAAGAGAUCCACAGUAUCAAAUAAAAUAAAAUAAUAAAAUAAAAUAAAAUCAGUUACUACUCAAGUGGAGAUGCUCUUGGUGGUGUGUUGUAAAGCCGGAGAAAGCGCUUUUGCAAAUUGUACAACGUACAAUAUUAACUUCUACCAUUUAUAUUUGAUGAAUUAAGUUGGUUUAUGUUGGGAAGUUGCUGUGGGCAUGUAUCAUGGUUGGUCCCUGGAAAAGUGCCUUCAGAUCACUUCAAAUUUCCUAACAAAGUAGGAAAUCCCAGUAGAGACCAACAGCCAGAGGAUGGGACGGGUUAGAGGCAGUUCUGGGAACUGCCAUCUAGGAGCAUGGGUAAAUGAUUCAUCAUGCACAAGGAAUGCUGAGUGGGUGUAAAGAAGCCUUUCUAGCAAUGUCACCUCCAGCCUACUCAGCACUCUAGAGCUUGUGAAAAACUCACUCGUCUGAGGUCCUGCCUGCCUGCUCCCUGCUCCCUGCCUCUGCUUCUGAAGACUCCAGUAGUUACUGUCCCCUUUACCAAUUAAACUUCACUGAUUGCACCUUGGAACCGAUCUCUAUUUUUGCCUCUCUUUGCCCUGAAUGUGACUGUGAGAAAGAAUAUGUAGCAUACUUCCGUUCUAAUAUGUUGUGUUCUGCACUCUCUUCUUCUCUAGUAGUUUGUACUUCAUAAAUUAGUUCAUUAUUGCACUAAUAAUUAAUUUUGAUGGCGGAAGCUAAGUUCAAAUUUAUAGGAAAGUUAAGCUUUGUUUAAAAACAAGCCCACUUGUUUCUGAACCAAGCUUGUAGAUUAAGGUUAUAGAAACACGAUUACAACUAGUGCAACUUUUGCAUUAAUGAAGUAAUGUCUUGACCAUGAAACAUUUUAUCCAGAAAUGUUUUAUGAAUGAAUAAGAGUGUGGGUGUUUAUGGAGGUGAUGGGAAAUUCCCUCUUAGUCAUUUCUGUUAGUAUGUAGACAGAAAGGAAAAUCAAAGACUAGAGCCGGGGGGAGGUUUUCUGUUUUUAGGUCUAUCAGCUCAGCAAAAACACUCUAUAUUUGUGCCAGGACUUUCUAUAUCACAUGACAAUGAUGCAUUCGAGAAUUUUCCAGCAAGGUGGAUGGAUAUGUCCACUGACAGAUGUACUUUCAGUCUUAGAGAAUUAGAAUGAGUUAGAAUAAUGCUUUUUUCAAUGCUCUAAAUCAAACUAAGUUUGAUUUUUUAAAAUACCUUCUUGAUCAAGUUUUGCUUUAGGCUUACACUAACCUUAUCAAACAUCGUUCUCUUUUCCUGUGUGCUAAAUGAAGUGAGCUUUCCUUUGAAGUCUGAACUUUCCUCUACCACUCUGCUAUUAAAUGAUAGCUUUUCCCAGGUUUUCUUUUAUUGUUAAUUUAUUGUGCAACAAUUUGAUUCUUAAAACAUAUUUAAAUAGAUUUUCAAAUGUAUAAACAGAAAAGGAAGACAACUUGUGUCAAGACAAUACCUCACGGAGAACUUGAAAGAGAAAGGAAUUCCCUGUUGAUUUCAGUCACCUCCUCUGUUUGUGGCAAUGUUGAGUCACAGUUGAACAGGCUCCAUCGUAUCUGUGUCACUACCUUCUCCAUGGUUGUCCUCAUUGCCUGAUGGUAUCGCAUACUGAAAAAGAAAAAAAGAUGUUUGUAUAGUAGAGGGAAUUAUUUCAUAUGGCUUUUAUUUUAUUUAAAUUUGUGUAUGGCUAAUGCAAAAUAAUAUUUUAUUCAACCACCAGAGGGAGCCUCCAAAUCUGUGGAUUCCCCCAAAAAGAAAUAUGACUGAAGUUGUAAAUUCAUAUAUUUUAUGUUGCACAAUUAAAAACUCAGGCCAAUCCA
This is a long non-coding RNA of Rattus norvegicus (Norway rat), 15487 nucleotides long. RefSeq lists it as uncharacterized. Lineage: Eukaryota; Metazoa; Chordata; Mammalia; Rodentia; Muridae. The record is from RefSeq and is a predicted model, not a curated record.